Molecule: long non-coding RNA, 203 nt
Filed under: Phoenix dactylifera (date palm)
Lineage: Eukaryota; Viridiplantae; Streptophyta; Magnoliopsida; Arecales; Arecaceae
Description: long non-coding RNA (PDAC_LNC005160)
Source: RNAcentral
GACAGAUUGCAUGUUUCUACUACCACCUUGCAUGUUUCUACCACCACCUUUGCACACCCUUGGAGCACCACCUCGGCAUCCACAUCAACAUCAGCUGGCCACCUCACCACCACUCCAACCAAUGGAAGCACACCAACCAGGAUGAAGUCAAGCAUAAGGAGCCGACCACAUCAUGCCAUCUCAUCAAAGGAACCAAUGCAACA